RNAcentral lists this long non-coding RNA (1391 nucleotides) under Felis catus (domestic cat). RNAcentral describes it as "lncRNA (ENSFCAG00000052010.1)". The record is from RNAcentral. Lineage: Eukaryota; Metazoa; Chordata; Mammalia; Carnivora; Felidae.
GCCCCAGCCAAUCACGCCCGCGCCCGCGUCCCUCCAGGAUGGCAAUUGCGGGGUCCCGGCCUGCCAGGCCAUCAUCAGCCCCACUCAGUCAUUUGAGCACCUCAGCGGUGGUUCAGCGGGGAGUGGAACUUCCUUCCACCCCCUGCUGCCCGGCUGAUUGGCAGCCAGCGGGGCUGGAAGGGGGAGGGGAGCAGGAGCAUCUGAUUGUUUGCUGCUGGGCGAGCAGGGCUUAGUGGUGGCAGAGAGAGGGCCCAGGAGCUCAGGAGGCUAACAGACAGAGGAUGCUCUGAGUCAGGAACCCCCGGACAGAGUCCAGGUCUGUCUGUUGUCUGGCUCCCGGCCCUGGUAGGGAAAUGAUGGAUGAGGGGCUUUGCAGAGCAUCCCCAGGUAGGGGGAAGAGAGGAGGCUUAUCUUUUAUAGAAUUGAGGCCAGUGGCCCAGGGGACCUCAGGUCUCAAGGCUCCGUAGGAGGCCUGACUGCUGUAGACACCAGGACCUGCAGACCUCUGUCCUCUCCCACGAAAAUCAAGAACAAAGGAAUGCACUUAGCAACCAGGCCAGGGGGACUCCUGGCAGGAUCUGUCUAAACGGCCCUCCUUUGACAAAGGUACCUGGUCUCUCCUGUGACGAUCCCUGGGCUCCCAACUGCUCACUGAUUAUCCUGCCGCCUGAAAUACCAGCUGAGUCUCCAAAGCAGCAGGGGUACCGUGAACCUCAGCUAUACAUGGUCGCUGGAAAGGAAGGGCUGCUUUCCUACCUGAAUGCACAGACCAGGAAGCAGCGGAAGGCAGAUGGACCACGUUAUGCCUGCUCUGCCUACAGUUUGUUUCAUCGACAGGUCGGAUGAGACCCAGAUGGUUUGCCAGAGGGCAAUAUAUUGGCAGACGGUGCCUUGAUUCGUAGCGUAAGGCAUUGAUCAAGGCUGUUAGGAACAAGUGCCUGGCACCGAGCUAACCCUAGACAUUCAGCUCAGGGACGAACCUUCUUUCUAUCCCUUUGGAUUAAAAAGAGAGUGGGUUAGGUGGUCCCAGCAUGGUCAGAAAACCGGAAGCCUUAGGCUGCCUUCCAGCCUCUAUUUUCUCUCCUUGUUCCCUAGAACAUCCGCUUGCAAAGCCUUGAUGGUAAGGCUUGCAAACCCUCCAGGACAGGGCCCAUGGUCUACGAUGUCGUGGAACAUUCCCAGGAUGCGUACGGUAUUUGUACAUAAAAGGCACUGGAUAAAUGUGCGACCUGGCAGACUGGCUCCUUGUCAUAGCCCCUGGCCUGCCAGAAUCUGUUGCAGAAUCUUUUCUAGACGAAGGCCCAACAGGUCCUGAUGCCAGAGGCUGCUGCCUUCUACGGGCCACCAGGGAGAGUUCAGACCAUCCAGGCUCCUCGUCAGGAGUAUCACCA